This 301-nucleotide ribosomal RNA is filed under the name uncultured bacterium. Its description in RNAcentral is "bacterial SSU rRNA". It matches the Rfam family "Bacterial small subunit ribosomal RNA", at positions 335 to 651 of the family's 1533-position model. The record is from RNAcentral.
UGACCUACGGGACGCAGCAGUGGGGAAUAUUGGGCAAUGGGCGCAAGCCUGACCCAGCAACGCCGCGUGAAGGAAGAAGGCUUUCGGGUUGUAAACUUCUUUUGACAGGGAAGAGCAGAAGACGGUACCUGUCGAAUAAGCCACGGCUAACUACGUGCCAGCAGCCGCGGUAAUACGUAGGUGGCAAGCGUUGUCCGGAUUUACUGGGUGUAAAGGGCGAGUAGCCGGGCUGACAAGUCAGAUGGGAAAUCCGGGGGCUCAACCCCCGAACUGCAUUUGAAACGGUGGGUCUGGAGGAUCG